UAGAAACCAAAAUGGAAACGUGGAGCA
RNAcentral lists this non-coding RNA (27 nucleotides) under Rattus norvegicus (Norway rat). Lineage: Eukaryota; Metazoa; Chordata; Mammalia; Rodentia; Muridae. The record is from RNAcentral.